RNAcentral lists this ribosomal RNA (253 nucleotides) under uncultured bacterium. RNAcentral's name for it is "partial 16S ribosomal RNA". It matches the Rfam family "Bacterial small subunit ribosomal RNA", at positions 524 to 776 of the family's 1533-position model. The record is from RNAcentral.
UACAGAGACUGCAAGCGUUAUUCGGCUUCACUGGGCGUAAAGCGUGCGCAGGCGGUUGUGUAAGACAGAUGUGAAAUCCCCGGGCUCAACCUGGGAACUGCAUUUGUGACUGCACGGCUCGAGUGCGGCAGAGGGGGAUGGAAUUCCGCGUGUAGCAGUGAAAUGCGUAGAUAUGCGGAGGAACACCGAUGGCGAAGGCAAUCCCCUGGGCCUGCACUGACGCUCAUGCACGAAAGCGUGGGGAGCAAACAGG